Molecule: unclassified non-coding RNA, 240 nt
Filed under: soil metagenome
Description: partial contains 5.8S ribosomal RNA, internal transcribed spacer 2, and large subunit ribosomal RNA
Source: RNAcentral
AAGACUAUAGACCUGCGGAGUACCUGCGGAGGGAUCAUUACAAAUCCAUUCACGUCUCACACACACCCGAGACCACGUUGAAAUUGUUCUGAUGAGAGAAGGGGGAGGGAGGGAGGAGGAGGAGAGAGAAAGGGAGUAGUGGGGGGGGUCUCCUCUCACUCGCACCACUCACUCGCACCACCGCCCAACCCGCUCUCUCAUCAUGUUCACACACUAGUUAUCUCUUGUUGUUCAAGUGUA